RNAcentral lists this ribosomal RNA (369 nucleotides) under Triticum aestivum (bread wheat). Its description in RNAcentral is "partial small subunit ribosomal RNA". Lineage: Eukaryota; Viridiplantae; Streptophyta; Magnoliopsida; Poales; Poaceae. The record is from RNAcentral.
AUGUUCCUAGAAAGCUUUUGGGAUAAGCAAGAGAAAUUCAAGGUGUGGAUGACAUCUCCCGAGUGGAAAAAUAGUUCAUGGAGUUCCGAGGUUGAUUAUGACUACACAUAUGAUUGUUUGACAAGUAGGAAAUGGUGGGAUGACGUGAAGAUGGUGUUAGAUGUAAUCGGCCCAAUGUAUACAAUACUUCGAUAUGCUGAUUCACAGAAGCUUGGGUCACUUUCUGGAUUUAUGACAAAGAUGAUGCAGGCUAGGCAUCACUUGAGUUCUUCUUUUCCUGAAGAAUCUCUAGACCAACAGAAGUACCCAAAGGUGGUCGACAAAAGGGUCGAGCAUUUAUACCAAAAUACAUUUAUGGUUGCAGCUUGA